UCGAAACCGCAUACUUUCAUUCUAUUUAGUAGGCAAAAAGCAGUAGGCGAAGGAAAAGUAUGCAUGAAAUUUCAACAUUCACAAAAGAGUAGGCGAGAUUUACCAGGAUGGAGCACUAUUUCUCGCGAGAUUCGGGCGUAUAUUUAAGUAUCGUUAGAAUAUGCCUACUUGCCUACUAGUAGGCGAAUUGGGUUCGUGAGAAGAGUAGUAUGUCCGAAAACCACCAUAAAAGAGUAAGCGAGAGAUCCCCGGAUGACCUACUGCGUCCCGCCCAGACUCCGAAGUGCCGAUACCUUUCUAUCCCAGAAGCCCACGCGGGAGUAUACGUUUUUUUUGUUUGUUUGUUUUUUUACAGUAUAUGGUUAUCAUCGACCGUGAAGGACAACAGCGACGAGGGGUGUUAACAAAUGGGAGUACAAACCAAAAACACGGUUACUUGUGUUUAAAUGGCGUUUGUUGAGCUACGAGACAGAUGUGUUUAUCCGGUGAAGAGUGACUGAUGGAGGAAUGCUGCCAUCGAAGGCUUUGAAUGAGUACACUACAGAAAUGAAUAAAACAUCUUUUAAAUGUUAAGUUGGUAGUUUAUUUUAAUUACUGUAAUUUUAAACAGAGUUAUUACAGCACUUUUCUGAUUCUUGAUUUCAGUACAUUUGCUGCAGAGUUUUCGUGGUGGAGCAGGUGACGGCGGCAUUUGUGGGGAAAAAAGGAAAACCCGAAAUAAAAUAUAAAGAUCUGAAAUGUCCACAGACUAGUGUGAGCAGAGAGGAUGGAGAAGUCCACAGCAGCAUCCUGGAAAUGGUCCAGUGCCAUAAGACGCUCCAUCACUCAAUCUGCCCUCAUCUGGACCAGAUGUUGCCAUAGUCUCUUCAUCCUCAGUGAGCCCAGAGCCAGCGAGAGCAUCUAGAGAAAGACCAAAAGACAUUGAGGAUGUGAUUUUGGUAAAGUUUGUUCUGCUGGUUUCUGUUCAUACAACAUCAGUCAACGAAACGAAAUGCACUAAGUUAGUUUGCCAACCGCCAAUAAGCUGAAAGAAGAGCUAAUGAGAGGGUUCCUUCUCCCAAGAGCACGAGUGUGUUGAGACGUUUCCAGUCCCAGAGUGUUGCUCUUGUUGACGGUGUUAUGGCUGUAGAGUGCAGUUUCAUGUGUUAAGCUUAAAUUUAAAACAACUCAAAUGUGAUGUGGCUGUAGUGCACAGCUUUGAGUCGUUUGCCUGUUUUCUUUUAGUGUUGGAGCAGUAGGGAGUCAGGUGCCAUUUUCUUUUGUCCUCGUUUUCUCCUGUUUUUGCUAGUUGUGAAGUCAGGUAAGAAUUCUGUUUAUUUGUAUUUAUUUUUCUUGUAGGUUUACUAGAUUCUCUUCUGGCAGGUAGUAACCUUUUGUUUGUUAUUUUGGCUUUACCCGCUCCUGAAGAGAUGCUGCUUAUGCUAAAAUUGUUUGUUUGGAGAUUAUUUUGCACAUAUAUAUAUAUAUCUCGUCAUUUGUUUAUUGUAAAUAAACUGACUUGCUUCUUACUUUGUGCACUGAUUGCUGGGACUGAGAACGGUUCAAACCUAUCUCUCUACCGCUACAAACCUUUACUUUAAAACGUUACUUUCCUUUUGCCCCAAGAAAUCUAAUUGGGAACGUAACGCGUCACUCCGGACUACAUCAUCCAUCCAUUGCACUGAUUACACAUACACAGCUGAAUCCAAUCAGACACGCUUUAUAAGCCUUGGACUUCCUCUUUCAGAUCACAGAGUAUUGUCUAGCGUUUAUCGCUCUCCCAGUGAUAGCUACAUUACGGAGCCCUUCCGUGUUUUCUGAGUCUAAGUCUAGUUUAUUGCCUGGGUCAUUAGUAUAUUUAUCCUAGCUCGUGUAUCUCGUUUCUUGUCUGAUCGCUGCCUGCCCUGAAGUUUGUAGCCUACCUUGGAUCUCUCUUUAGUCUUGUCAUUUUGUACUCUGUUUGCUCCUGCCUGGACUACUGCUCACGUUAUUGGAUUACCCCUCUUGUGUGAAGCCCUCUGGAUAUUGUUCGCCAAUUGAAGAUCCAUGCUUGUGAUACAAACAGAUACACUGAUUUAUAUAAAAGUGGUUUUACAGAAUAACAAACAAAAGGAAGUAUAGAAUUGCACAUUAAAACUGCACAUUUUAGAGUGGCCUUUUAUUUUACCUGUGAGGUGG
Onychostoma macrolepis is the source of this 2157-nucleotide long non-coding RNA. RefSeq lists it as uncharacterized. Lineage: Eukaryota; Metazoa; Chordata; Actinopteri; Cypriniformes; Cyprinidae. The transcript has 3 exons. The record is from RefSeq and is a predicted model, not a curated record.